Molecule: unclassified non-coding RNA, 460 nt
Filed under: Hevea brasiliensis (rubber tree)
Lineage: Eukaryota; Viridiplantae; Streptophyta; Magnoliopsida; Malpighiales; Euphorbiaceae
Source: RNAcentral
GCUCUACAGGGAACACUUAGGGGACUUCUUCAAAAAUAUCUUCGAAGAACUCAACAAGUUUGGUGAGAUCAAGAGCCUCAAUGUUUGGGAUAGCCUCGCUGACCACGUGAUUGGAUGUCCAGUUCGCGGAGUAGCAGCAGGCACUGCUACAUUGCAAGCUCUACAACCCUCGAUUAUUGUUGAUUUUUCUCCUAUUACUGAUUUCCGUGAAGCCACGUGCAAGCAAAUUUGAGGAGAAUUGGAGCUUACUGUAAUUUCAUGCAUGUGAAGUUGAUUGGGAGAGAGUUAAGAGGAAACAAUUCAGAAGGCACUGUUGAUAUAGAGGUAACAGGAGCCGGAGUCAGAGCGUGAGUCCAAGACACAGUACAGUAGGAAUAGUUGUAGGGGUGUGGACAGGCACGACAGUUAUGACAGAGAUCCCAGUUAGGGAAGGCAGGAAAGAACAAUGGAACAGAGAGGG